UAAUUAAUUAAGUACUAUUCUUUAAAUGUUUAACCAAAGAAUACGUUUUAAACAAAUACUAAAUUAUGUGUAUUAUUUAAAAUAUAAAUUUAAAGUUUGCGCUAAUUAUUCCAAUGCAUACAGCAUACCUAUUAUAUUUUUUGAUAGUGUUUUAAUGUUGUAAUUUGGUUAAUAAAUUUGAAUUUAAUUAAAAAUAUACUUCUGUCCAAUCAGCAAUAUUAUUAUGUAUAUGGGAAUCAGAUUUCAUACUUUGCCAACAACUUUAUUUGUAUAAUUUAUUGUGGCAAUAAGUAGAGUUUAUAUAAUUAAUCAAAAAAUACAGUGAACUAUAUGACUAGGCAGCUCAAUUUGACCAGCAAUUAAUGCAAAUUUACAUUGCUUACUGUCUACUGGUAUCUGAUGACUAUAAAAGAAUAAAAUAUCCAUAUUUCUUUACAUAUUAUAUUUUAAUCUUUAAACAAGCUAAAUAAUUUAUUAUAAAAUUAAUUUUAUUUUCUUUCAAAUUUCAACUGCAAUUAGUAGUACUAACUUUUAAUUCAAAUAUCUAUAACAACAUUGGAUGAACAAUUACAAUUCGUAAUUUUGGUUAGUCACAGCAAAGUACAUCUCAGCUGAUAACU
Molecule: long non-coding RNA, 620 nt
Organism: Aphis gossypii (cotton aphid)
Lineage: Eukaryota; Metazoa; Arthropoda; Insecta; Hemiptera; Aphididae
Exons: 3
Source: RefSeq, a predicted model, not a curated record